RNAcentral lists this long non-coding RNA (226 nucleotides) under Phasianus colchicus (ring-necked pheasant). RNAcentral describes it as "lncRNA (ENSPCLG00000002087.1)". Lineage: Eukaryota; Metazoa; Chordata; Aves; Galliformes; Phasianidae. The record is from RNAcentral.
CACACAUGUUGUGUGGUCUGCACUUAAGUUGAUACCUAUAAAUGGCAGGGUUGUGGGUCACAUGCUGGCUGGAGGGCUGAGCUGCAGAGGAAGACUAAGCUACACCUGGAGCAGUGGUAAUCAUCAGCCAGAGAGCAGCUUCAUUUCUAACUGCAGGGAACAGUGGUCAUGUAUCAUGUCUUUAAUGAUACAGCCCAAGGGAACUGCAAUGAUUAUUAGGUAAAAC